GGGGAGGCAAAUCCCAGAAAUAAGUCCCAGUUCGGAUUGCAGUCUGCAACUCGACUGCAUGAAGCUGGAAUCGCUAGUAAUCGCGAAUCAGCAUGUCGCGGUGAAUACGUUCCCGGGUCUUGUACACACCGCCCGUCACACCAUGGGAGUCGGAAAUGCCCGAAGCCAGUGACCCAACCUUUAAGGAGGGAGCUGUCGAAGGCAGGUCUGGUAACUGGGGUGAAGUCGUAACAAGGUAGC
This 240-nucleotide ribosomal RNA is filed under the name uncultured bacterium. Its description in RNAcentral is "partial 16S ribosomal RNA". It matches the Rfam family "Bacterial small subunit ribosomal RNA", at positions 1261 to 1500 of the family's 1533-position model. The record is from RNAcentral.